RNAcentral lists this transfer RNA (74 nucleotides) under Lachnospiraceae bacterium MD335. Its description in RNAcentral is "tRNA-Trp". It matches the Rfam family "tRNA". From Rfam's summary of the family: Transfer RNA (tRNA) molecules are approximately 80 nucleotides in length. Their secondary structure includes four short double-helical elements and three loops (D, anti-codon, and T loops). The record is from RNAcentral. Lineage: Bacteria; Bacillati; Bacillota; Clostridia; Lachnospirales; Lachnospiraceae.
AGGGGCAUAGUUCAGCGGUAGAACAGCGGUCUCCAAAACCGUCAACGAGGGUUCGAUUCCUUCUGCCCCUGCUA